RNAcentral lists this ribosomal RNA (1185 nucleotides) under Stylurus amnicola. RNAcentral describes it as "partial 16S ribosomal RNA". Lineage: Eukaryota; Metazoa; Arthropoda; Insecta; Odonata; Gomphidae. The record is from RNAcentral.
AUUAUAUAUUUUACUUUAAUUUUUAUAUUUUUAUUUGGAGAAAUAUCUUUAAUUUUAGUAUAAAUAAAGAACAAAAAGUUUUAUUGUUAUAGUAUAUUAGUACUGUAAAGGAAUUGAUGAAAUAUUUUGAAAAUUUAAAUUUUCAAAAGUAAAUUUUAUUUGUUGUACCUUUUGUAUCAGGGUUAAUUAAAUAUAUUUAAUUUAUUUUAUAUUCUCGAUUUCAGAAGAGCUAAUUUUAAAUUAUUCUUGUUGUAAUAUAACCAUAUUUAAUUUAAUUUUAGGGGAGAUAUUCCAUUCGAUUCUGAAGAUAUCUGGUUUUUUAAGAAAUAAAUUUAAUUUAGACUUGGUUAUUAAAUAAUUUAUUUAUUAAUUAUUUAUUAGUUAAGAUUAAAAUAUUAGGGGAUAAGCUCUAAUAUUAUUCUAAAAAUUUCGUUUUUUUUUAUUUUUUGUAAGCUUUAAAUUAGCUAUCACUUAUGAGUUCGUUGUAGUUCAAAAUAAUAAAAUUAUGAUUUUCUUUAAUUUUAGUAUUUUAUUAAAAUGAUAUUUUUAAUUUUAUAAAAUUUGUAAUAAUGAUUAAAUUAGUAUAUAUUUAUUUUGUGUGUUGUUUAUUUUUUGUUAGUAUAAAAUAAGGAAUUCGGCAAAUUUAACGCUCGCCUGUUUACCAAAAACAUGUCCUCUUGUUUAUAUAUGAGGUUUGACCUGCCCGGUGAAAUUAUUUUAACGGCCGCAGUAUUUUGACUGUGCAAAGGUAGCAUAAUCAUUAGUCUUUUAAUAGGGGGCUGGAAUGAAGGGUUUGACGAGGUGUUAACUGUCUCAUUAAAUUUAUUAUUAAAAUUUAACUUUUCAGUCAAAAGGCUGAAAUUAUAUUGGAAGACGAGAAGACCCUAUAGAGCUUUAUAAUUUAAAGUUUAAUUAUUAUUUGUUUAUUAUUUUUUAUUAUUCUUUUAAUUAUUUUGUUGGGGUGACAAAAAUAUAAAAUUAACUUUUUUAUUUAAUCAACAUUGAUUAAUGAAUAUUAGAUCCAAUCUUAUUGAUUGUUAGAUUAAGUUACCUUAGGGAUAACAGCGUAAUCUUCCUUCAGAGUUCAUAUUUACGGGAAGGCUUGCGACCUCGAUGUUGGAUUAAGAUAAUAAUUAGGUGUAGCCGCUUAAUAUAUAAGUCUGUUCGACCUUUAAAUUCUUACAU